This 253-nucleotide ribosomal RNA is filed under the name uncultured bacterium. RNAcentral's name for it is "partial 16S ribosomal RNA". It matches the Rfam family "Bacterial small subunit ribosomal RNA", at positions 524 to 776 of the family's 1533-position model. The record is from RNAcentral.
UACGGGGGGAGCAAGCGUUGUUUGGAUUUACUGGGCGUAAAGAGCGUGUAGGCGGCUUGGUAGGUCCGCUGUGAAAACUCGAGGCUCAACCUCGAGAUGUCGGCGGAAACCACUUGGCUAGAGUCCGGAAGAGGAGAGUGGAAUUCCUGGUGUAGCGGUGAAAUGCGCAGAUAUCAGGAAGAACACCUAUGGCGAAGGCAGCUCUCUGGGACGGUACUGACGCUGAGACGCGAAAGCGUGGGGAGCGAACAGG